AAUCCUCAAAGCCCCUCUUUCUUUGAUGAGAAAAGGAGUUUUGGACUUGGAGGUUCAAUGCUCGCUUUCGGAAUCGAAAGCGAGCUCCUCUCAAAUGAAUCAGUGGGGUCCGCUUUGCCGGUCCUUGACGUGAUAAUGUGUUUCUACGUUUUGGAUCUGGCACAGUCCCU
This 170-nucleotide unclassified non-coding RNA is filed under the name uncultured Russula. Its description in RNAcentral is "sequence contains ITS2". The record is from RNAcentral. Lineage: Eukaryota; Fungi; Basidiomycota; Agaricomycetes; Russulales; Russulaceae.